AGUGGCGAACGGGUGAGUAACACGUGAGUAACCUGCCCCUGACUCUGGGAUAAGCGUUGGAAACGACGUCUAAUACUGGAUAGGACUACUGGCCGCAUGGUCUGGUGGUGGAAAGAUUUUUUGGUUGGGGAUGGACUCGCGGCCUAUCAGCUUGUUGGUGAGGUAAUGGCUCACCAAGGCGACGACGGGUAGCCGGCCUGAGAGGGUGACCGGCCACACUGGGACUGAGACACGGCCCAGACUCCUACGGGAGGCAGCAGUGGGGAAUAUUGCACAAUGGGCGAAAGCCUGAUGCAGCAACGCCGCGUGAGGGAUGACGGCCUUCGGGUUGUAAACCUCUUUUAGUAGGGAAGAAGCGAAAGUGACGGUACCUGCAGAAAAAGCACCGGCUAACUACGUGCCAGCAGCCGCGGUAAUACGUAGGGUGCAAGCGUUGUCCGGAAUUAUUGGGCGUAAAGAGCUCGUAGGCGGUUUGUCGCGUCUGCUGUGAAAUCCCGAGGCUCAACCUCGGGCUUGCAGUGGGUACGGGCAGACUAGAGUGCGGUAGGGGGAGAUUGGAAUUCCUGGUGUAGCGGUGGAAUGCGCAGAUAUCAGGAGGAACACCCGAUGGCGAAGGCAGAUCUCUGGGCCGUAACUGACGCUGAGGAGCGAAAGCAUGGGGAGCGAACAGGAUUAGAUACCCUGGUAGUCCAUGCCGUAAACGUUGGGCGCUAGAUGUAGGGACCUUUCCACGGUUUCUGUGUCGUAGCUAACGCAUUAAGCGCCCCGCCUGGGGAGUACGGCCGCAAGGCUAAAACUCAAAGGAAUUGACGGGGGCCCGCACAAGCGGCGGAGCAUGCGGAUUAAUUCGAUGCAACGCGAAGAACCUUACCAAGGCUUGACAUACACCGGAAACGGCCAGAGAUGGUCGCCCCCUUGUGGUCGGUGUACAGGUGGUGCAUGGUUGUCGUCAGCUCGUGUCGUGAGAUGUUGGGUUAAGUCCCGCAACGAGCGCAACCCUCGUUCUAUGUUGCCAGCGCGUUAUGGCGGGGACUCAUAGGAGACUGCCGGGGUCAACUCGGAGGAAGGUGGGGAUGACGUCAAAUCAUCAUGCCCCUUAUGUCUUGGGCUUCACGCAUGCUACAAUGGCCGGUACAAAGGGCUGCGAUACCGUAAGGUGGAGCGAAUCCCAAAAAGCCGGUCUCAGUUCGGAUUGAGGUCUGCAACUCGACCUCAUGAAGUCGGAGUCGCUAGUAAUCGCAGAUCAGCAACGCUGCGGUGAAUACGUUCCCGGGCCUUGUACACACCGCCCGUCAAGUCAUGAAAGUCGGUAACACCCGAAGCCGGUG
Molecule: ribosomal RNA, 1328 nt
Filed under: Curtobacterium flaccumfaciens
Lineage: Bacteria; Bacillati; Actinomycetota; Actinomycetes; Micrococcales; Microbacteriaceae
Description: bacterial SSU rRNA
Rfam family: Bacterial small subunit ribosomal RNA
Source: RNAcentral